RNAcentral lists this transfer RNA (71 nucleotides) under Marmota monax (woodchuck). RNAcentral describes it as "tRNA.Ala". It matches the Rfam family "tRNA". From Rfam's summary of the family: Transfer RNA (tRNA) molecules are approximately 80 nucleotides in length. Their secondary structure includes four short double-helical elements and three loops (D, anti-codon, and T loops). The record is from RNAcentral. Lineage: Eukaryota; Metazoa; Chordata; Mammalia; Rodentia; Sciuridae.
GGGGUUGUGGCUCAGUGGUAGAGCAUUCACCUAGCACGUGCAAUGUGCUGGGUUCGAUCCUCAGCACCACA